AAGGCAAAAUUAAUUACUAGAAGUUGUUUAGAGAAACAACUGGUUAUGAACCUACCCAUAGAUGCACAUGGGUUGACCAACCAAAGUUGGGCUCGUGUGUGGUCUGUGUGGAUUCUAGUACCCACUAAGGAAUUAAAGUAAUUCCUCGAAUUGGAGGUUGAGGCUACCAGUUCGUAAAAAUACUGGGAGAAACUUUAGACUAAAGUCCAAGUCUUUAGUAUUAAUAAUUUAUAUACUAAUAAAGGU
This 246-nucleotide long non-coding RNA is filed under the name Elaeis guineensis (African oil palm). RNAcentral describes it as "long non-coding RNA (EGUI_LNC077696)". The record is from RNAcentral. Lineage: Eukaryota; Viridiplantae; Streptophyta; Magnoliopsida; Arecales; Arecaceae.